CCAGACUCCUACGGGAGGCAGCAGUAGGGAAUCUUCCGCAAUGGGCGAAAGCCUGACGGAGCAACGCCGCGUGAGUGAUGAAGGUCUUCGGAUCGUAAAACUCUGUUAUUAGGGAAGAACAAAUGUGUAAGUAACUAUGCACGUCUUGACGGUACCUAAUCAGAAAGCCACGGCUAACUACGUGCCAGCAGCCGCGGUAAUACGUAGGUGGCAAGCGUUAUCCGGAAUUAUUGGGCGUAAAGCGCGCGUAGGCGGUUUUUUAAGUCUGAUGUGAAAGCCCACGGCUCAACCGUGGAGGGUCAUUGGAAACUGGAAAACUUGAGUGCAGAAGAGGAAAGUGGAAUUCCAUGUGUAGCGGUGAAAUGCGCAGAGAUAUGGAGGAACACCAGUGGCGAAGGCGACUUUCUGGUCUGUAACUGACGCUGAUGUGCGAAAGCGUGGGGAUCAAACAGGAUUAGAUACCCUGGUAGUCCACGCCGUAAACGAUGAGUGCUAAGUGUUAGGGGGUUUCCGCCCCUUAGUGCUGCAGCUAACGCAUUAAGCACUCCGCCUGGGGAGUACGACCGCAAGGUUGAUACUCAAAGGAAUUGACGGGGGCCCGCACAAG
RNAcentral lists this ribosomal RNA (607 nucleotides) under uncultured bacterium. RNAcentral's name for it is "bacterial SSU rRNA". It matches the Rfam family "Bacterial small subunit ribosomal RNA", at positions 331 to 929 of the family's 1533-position model. The record is from RNAcentral.